Triticum aestivum (bread wheat) is the source of this 689-nucleotide long non-coding RNA. RefSeq lists it as uncharacterized. The transcript has 2 exons. The record is from RefSeq and is a predicted model, not a curated record. NCBI's taxonomy places the organism in Eukaryota, Viridiplantae, Streptophyta, Magnoliopsida, Poales, Poaceae.
AUGAAGCAGUUGAGUAGGUGUGCGUGGUGAGCAGCUACUAAACUUAUUCAGACACUACAAAAUAUAGUCCCACACAGCCUCUCAACACCACUUCUCGAACCUUCUUGAACCUUCAUGGCCCAGGCCGUUCACUGCCUCCACACAAGGCCGUUCGAUGACGCAACGCUCAAGCCGAUCACCCUUGCCAGCACCCUAGACUCCCAUGAUAUAUCUAGUCAAAAAAAUGGUUGAUCAUAAGUGCAAGUACACUACACACGCUGAGCUGCAACGGGACAUGGUGACAUCACUUCUUUUGGGAUACACACUAUUCAUCGCAUUUGUCAUCGAGCGAUUGCACCACUAUCUUCAGAAGCUCAUCACCCUGAGGAAAUCAGCCAACACCUCCCAGCGAGGAGCUUGAAAUUUUCCAAAUGGAGUUCAAACGUGAAUUUGAGAAAAUGAUUCCUUGGCUAAGUUCAAAAAAUGUCAUUCUGUGAAGUUCGGCUAUUCAGCCAUGGACUAGUCAAUGGUGGAGUUGCAAUUUUGUUUCUUCUGUACAUACAUGAAUUGAAUGUAAUCAACGGAAAGAAACAUAUGUUGAUUCUCCAAGUUAGAGUUCAUUUUUAUUUUCUUACAAGUAGCAAAACUUCCUGUGUAGAUCAGUACAGCUUCUGUGCGAUCUUGUGUUACAAAUCUUGUAGUACUGUUUU